This 545-nucleotide ribosomal RNA is filed under the name Fusarium sp. FL-2010b. Its description in RNAcentral is "eukaryotic LSU rRNA". The stretch from base 207 to 360 matches the Rfam family "5.8S ribosomal RNA". Lineage: Eukaryota; Fungi; Ascomycota; Sordariomycetes; Hypocreales; Nectriaceae. The record is from RNAcentral.
UGGAAGUAAAAGUCGUAACAAGGUCUCCGUUGGUGAACCAGCGGAGGGAUCAUUACCGAGUUUACAACUCCCAAACCCCUGUGAACAUACCUUAAUGUUGCCUCGGCGGAUCAGCCCGCGCCCCGUAAAACGGGACGGCCCGCCAGAGGACCCAAACUCUAAUGUUUCUUAUUGUAACUUCUGAGUAAAACAAACAAAUAAAUCAAAACUUUCAACAACGGAUCUCUUGGUUCUGGCAUCGAUGAAGAACGCAGCAAAAUGCGAUAAGUAAUGUGAAUUGCAGAAUUCAGUGAAUCAUCGAAUCUUUGAACGCACAUUGCGCCCGCUGGUAUUCCGGCGGGCAUGCCUGUUCGAGCGUCAUUUCAACCCUCAAGCCCCCGGGUUUGGUGUUGGGGAUCGGCUCUGCCUUCUGGCGGUGCCGCCCCCGAAAUACAUUGGCGGUCUCGCUGCAGCCUCCAUUGCGUAGUAGCUAACACCUCGCAACUGGAACGCGGCGCGGCCAUGCCGUAAAACCCCAACUUCUGAAUGUUGACCUCGGAUCAGGU